Molecule: ribosomal RNA, 253 nt
Filed under: uncultured bacterium
Lineage: Bacteria
Description: partial 16S ribosomal RNA
Rfam family: Bacterial small subunit ribosomal RNA
Source: RNAcentral
UACGUAGGGUGCAAGCGUUAAUCGGAAUUACUGGGCGUAAAGCGUGCGCAGGCGGUUUUGUAAGUCAGAUGUGAAAUCCCCGGGCUUAACCUGGGAACUGCGUUUGAAACUACAAGGCUAGAGUGUGGCAGAGGGGGGUGGAAUUCCACGUGUAGCAGUGAAAUGCGUAGAGAUGUGAAGGAACACCGAUGGCGAAGGCAGCCCCCUGGGUUAACACUGACGCUCAGGCACGAAAGCGUGGGGAGCAAACAGG